Molecule: ribosomal RNA, 440 nt
Filed under: uncultured bacterium
Lineage: Bacteria
Description: partial 16S ribosomal RNA
Rfam family: Bacterial small subunit ribosomal RNA
Source: RNAcentral
CCUACGUGAGGCAGCAGUGGGGAAUAUUGCACAAUGGGGGAAACCCUGAUGCAGCGACGCCGCGUGAGUGAAGAAGUAAUUCGUUAUGUAAAGCUCUAUCAGCAGGGAAGAAAAUGACGGUACCUGAGUAAGAAGCCCCGGCUAACUACGUGCCAGCAGCCGCGGUAAUACGUAGGGGGCAAGCGUUAUCCGGAUUUACUGGUUGUAAAGGGAGCGUAGACGGCAGUGCAAGUCUGGAGUGAAAGGCGGGGGCUCAACCCCCGGACUGCUCUGGAAACUGUACGGAUGGAGUGCAGGAGAGGUAAGUGGAAUUCCUGGUGUAGCGGUGAAAUGCGUAGAUAUUAGGAGGAACACCAGUGGCGAAGGCGGCUUACUGGACUGUAACUGACGUUGAGGCUCGAAAGCGUGGGGAGCAAACAGGAUUAGAUACCCCGGUAGUC